UCCUCAUUCGACAUGUUCUUUAUAUCCAACAAAGAACUGAAUUCCUUCACAUAAUCUCGAACAGAUCCCGUUUGUUUGAGAUUCCUUAAACUUUCCCUAGCAAGCCAAGAAGCAUUAAGUGGCAGAAAUUGCUCCUUAAGUUCCUUCUUCAAUGCCUCAAAAGUGGUUAUCACCGGCCUGUCCACACUCGCAUCACCGUCCGUACGAGUCCGCCACCACAAUUUUGCAUCGCCAACCAAAUACAUACUCGUGAUUGAAACUUGCUCCUUCUCAUCAAUAUGGGCACUCCUGAAAUACUGCUCCAUGUCCCACAAAAAGUUCUCCAGAUCCUUUGCAACC
RNAcentral lists this long non-coding RNA (339 nucleotides) under Daucus carota (carrot). RNAcentral's name for it is "long non-coding RNA (DCAR_LNC002535)". The record is from RNAcentral. Lineage: Eukaryota; Viridiplantae; Streptophyta; Magnoliopsida; Apiales; Apiaceae.